AUGGAGUACGUUUCAAGGGCACGCUAGACAAGGUGCGCAAGUGGAGGGAUGCUUUAAUCAAAGCUUCCAAAAUAGCUGGGUUUGUUUCACGCAACAUUGGCCCCGAUUACAAAUUAGUUGAGGAAGUUGUGAGAGAUAUUGUGUGGAAGUUGAGCCGCAAAUGCAUUGCCCCACAAGAUGUCGGAGAAGAUGUCUGCUUCAAGUGUGGUGGUAUAGGACAUUGGGCCCAACACUGCCCUUCAGCAGGUGAAUGUUUCAAGUGUGGUGGGAUAGGACAUUGGGCUCAACAUUGCCCUUCAGCUGGUGAAUGUUUCAAGUGUGGCGGUUUAGGACAUUGGGCCCAACACUGCCCUUCACGCUUUAACAGUGAUGAAGACAUGUAGGGAUAUAUCUACAUACAAGCUUGGUUGGGCUUCGCCCACCUGAGAUUUCAUAAAUUACUAAGUAUAUGUAAUAUUAUAGAUGUCAUGGGCUUGCAGUCUUGGUAUUAGUUAAAACAUUUUAACUAAUAUCACAUUUUAACUAAUAUCAAGCCCACCUAAUUUCGAAUUGCGUAAGUUGCAAUCUUUUAGUCAUUUUUUCCUCUUACUUCCUAUUUUCUUGAUUUCUUCUAAAUUUUUUUUUUCUUUUUCCCAAUACCUACUGGGUCCGAAGUUUGAUAUUGGGGUUCCCUCGUGUGUGGCUUUGGAUCUAUUUGGUCUUUAAGGCCUCUUUUGUAUGUGGAUUUGGAUCUGUUUGGUUUUUAUGUUUGUAUUUUUUGUUUUAUCUUUAGGUUUGCAUUCUUUUGUAAGAUGUUAGGUCAUUAUAUUAUUCAGGAUUCCUAGUUUUAUUUAUUAUUAUUAUUAUUUUUUAUAUUUUGGAUGUAGUCCUAAAAGGUGAGUAUUUAUAACUA
Molecule: long non-coding RNA, 892 nt
Organism: Rosa chinensis
Lineage: Eukaryota; Viridiplantae; Streptophyta; Magnoliopsida; Rosales; Rosaceae
Exons: 3
Source: RefSeq, a predicted model, not a curated record